RNAcentral lists this ribosomal RNA (493 nucleotides) under uncultured bacterium. RNAcentral describes it as "partial 16S ribosomal RNA". It matches the Rfam family "Bacterial small subunit ribosomal RNA", at positions 30 to 523 of the family's 1533-position model. The record is from RNAcentral.
AUUGAACGCUGGCGGCAUGCCUUACACAUGCAAGUCGAACGGUAACAGGUUAAGCUGACGAGUGGCGAACGGGUGAGUAAUGUAUCGGAACGUGCCCAGUCGUGGGGGAUAACGUAGCGAAAGCUACGCUAAUACCGCAUACGAUCUACGGAUGAAAGCGGGGGAUCGCAAGACCUCGCGCGAUUGGAGCGGCCGAUAUCAGAUUAGGUUGUUGGUGAGGUAAAAGCUCACCAAGCCUGCGAUCUGUAGCUGGUCUGAGAGGACGACCAGCCACACUGGAACGGAGACACGGUCCAGACUCCUACGGGAGGCAGCAGUGGGGAAUUUUGGACAAUGGACGCAAGUCUGAUCCAGCAAUGCCGCGUGCAGGACGAAGGCCUUCGGGUUGUAAACUGCUUUUGUACGGAACGAAACGGUGAGCUCUAAUACAGUUUGCUAAUGACGGUACCGUAAGAAUAAGCACCGGCUAACUACGUGCCAGCCGCCGCCGCUG